Pecten maximus is the source of this 410-nucleotide long non-coding RNA. RefSeq lists it as uncharacterized. The record is from RefSeq and is a predicted model, not a curated record. Lineage: Eukaryota; Metazoa; Mollusca; Bivalvia; Pectinida; Pectinidae. The transcript is spliced from 5 exons.
CACAAAAUUUCAAGAUGGAGGACGAGGAAGUUAGAACGCCAUAAGGGGUGUGACUACACAAAAAUGGCUACCCGGACGCUGUUCAGAAAAGAAUAGAAGUAAAACAACUUCUUCACAAAAGGAAACAGUGACAGAUACUUACUUGAUGUAUAGCGCUCUCGUCCAGUACACAUCCUAAUACUGGAGGACAAUGGAUACCAAACAACGUGGAACAAUGUGAUGAAAAUGUGCCAGCCACUAUCUAUCAACUAAACCAACCUGUGAGUGACAACCAAAAGCCUCGUUAGGAAUUGCGUCUUGCUCAGAAUUUAGGAAAACUUCUGAAGCAUUGUAGAGGGGAUUAGAGUUAAUCAUGGCGUCUGGUUCCAGAGACGAUGGUUGGGAUUCAUCUGAUUCUGACAGUGAUUUGG